UACGUAGGGUGCGAGCGUUAAUCGGAAUUACUGGGCGUAAAGCGUGCGUAGGCGGUUUUGUAAGUCAGAAGUGAAAGCCUGGGGCUCAACCUCAGAAUUGCUUUUGAGACUGCAAAGCUAGAGUAUUGGAGAGGUCAGUGGAAUUCCGGGUGUAGAGGUGAAAUUCGCAGAUAUUCGGAGGAACACCAGUGGCGAAGGCGACUGACUGGACAAUUACUGACGCUGAGGCACGAAAGCGUGGGGAUCAAACAGG
Molecule: ribosomal RNA, 253 nt
Filed under: uncultured bacterium
Lineage: Bacteria
Description: partial 16S ribosomal RNA
Rfam family: Bacterial small subunit ribosomal RNA
Source: RNAcentral